Molecule: long non-coding RNA, 1518 nt
Organism: Gambusia affinis (western mosquitofish)
Lineage: Eukaryota; Metazoa; Chordata; Actinopteri; Cyprinodontiformes; Poeciliidae
Exons: 3
Source: RefSeq, a predicted model, not a curated record
UGCCACUGACAAUGCUCUUUAUGGAAACGCGUCAAGUGCGCAUUACUUUUCCAAUUUUUGAGCGAGUUGCUCAAGUCUGCCUUGAGGUGGAAAGGUGCUGCACGCUGAAAAAAAAAAUAAAAAAUCAAACACAAAAGCAGGAAUGGAAGGGGAGGAAGAUAUUUGUGACUCUCAGCACUGAUUAAGACUACUUCAGUGUGGCUGGUGCCACUUUACACCAGCGGGCAGCAGCCUUCUGUGAAAGAAGCCGAGGCUUGAGAGGUGAGGGUCAGUGCCGUUCACUGCAGGGCCCGACAGGGGAAGCACACACACUCGUACACAGAAGUACACUAAGGUAGUCAGGCUGAACUGAGGACUUGAUGUGCUGAGAAAGAAUAGAAGUUGAGGUGCUGUGUAAUUGAGCUGUUUGGCUCUCGGGCCUCUAUGAUGUCCUCAUCCAUGAAGCAGAUGACACCAUGGCUCUGCUCCUCUCUUUCACACAGAGACAGUGUUCAAAAACUCCAGAGGAAGGUCACUGACAGGUGUGGAGUCAUUAUCAGCCACAGUCUAGUUUAGUUUUUCUUUCACCAGCGACUAUGAGAAAUGCACCAACUGGAGAUUCAUGAUUUCCAAUUGGCUGUUAUAUUUUGGUUCUCUUUUUUUAAAGGUCCAGUCCUGCUGAUUCAAAUUUUUAUCAGUAAGUAGAGAUGCUCCCAUGUGAACACAUGAUUUUAAAUAUCUGCCAAUACCAAUAUUUUUCAAUCCAGAAUGCUGUAACUAAACAGCACUAAACUAGUGCUUCAGAAACUGGCAGCAUGGAGAACAUAGUAGACUUCAGAAGAUAGCAUUGGAACUUCAGUCAACUUAGCCUUAACUUUCUGUAAAUGUUUGAGAGAUGGUUUAAAAAAUCCUCCACAUCCAAGAAAAAGGAGCCUUAAGAAGCUUUCUGGAUUCAUAAGAACUGUUUUUGUGUGUUUUUCAAAUUUUUUUUUUAAGUAUUAAGCAGAGUUGUCACUAUUACUGCUUGUAACAGUAACAGCAGCUUCCAUGAAUAAUACUGAUGCACAACAUUUUUUUGAUUGACUUUAUUAAUAUUGCUUCCUGGAACUGCUGCCCCUGUAUACAUAAUUUAUAGACUGAUUUAAACUCUUUUGGCAACAUUAAUUGAAGAUUAGUACGGUUUUGUAUUGGUUCAAGAAUGAAUUGGACUCAAACUCAGUACACAACAGGAAAAGUUACAUUUUACUGAACACAAUUAAAAUGUAAGAGAUGACCGAUAGCCUCUCAAUGGGAUCGUCUCUGGGGUCAGACUCUGUGAAGGAGACGGGUUAAUAAAUGACUGGCCGUGUAAACAGAAGUUAUGGAGCAAAUAAGAAAUGGUGAGCUAUGCAGUAGAGGUCGUAUGACUGUCUUCGGGAAUUUGAGCCUCGACUGACUCGAAUUCUCUGUAAAGUAACAGAAGUGGAUUAGAGAGCACUCUUCUACCUGGCAUUGUUUCACCCACAGGGCUGUAUAAAGGAAAAUCCUCUGUGUGCUGGA